CCUCCUUUACCAAACUCAUAAUUAUAAUUUACCCUAGCAAAUCUUGUUGUCAUCUAUACCCAUCAGCAAUACCAGUUUAACUUAUGAAACUUGUUCAGAGUCCAAAAUAAUAAGCAUACCUACAGGGAAAAUUUAAAAAAGAAAGCUGUAAGGAGAUGGUACAGAAAGAGGGGGAGUGAAACUGAACUGCAAGAAGUGUCCUAAAACUUGUUAUGAUACUAUUUUCAGGUGUUUGUUGAACAAUUUUUGUUGGAAAUGGCUCCAGCCGAUGAAAGUAACUAAGAAAUUUAUUCCACUUUUUGUAUAGUUAUAUUUUUGGCACUGAGAAGCAGUCCAGAAUGAGUUUUAAUUGAUAAUCUGAUAAAAUGAAUUAUCCAUAGUAGGAAGAAAAAGGAAGUUCAUCCUAUUUCUCUUAAGUACUAUUUUAUGAGUUGGGCCAUCUAUGUGGCAGCAGAGUUGCCUUUUAGUUAUGCAUGUGGAAUACAAAAUAAAAUUUGUUUUCUGGUAGAAAAAGUCCCUGAUUAUGUAAGGAAAGGGUUGCAUUAAAAACAUUCACCAUAAUGAUUUCUGUUGUGUUUUAAGACUAAGUCUGUAGCAUUUUGUGCUUACUGCCAGGUUGAGCUAUACACAGAUCAAGAAACUUAUGGGAUAAUGGGUAAGAAAAUUUCAUCAGCUUUCAUACCUGAAUUAUUUUGCCAGAUAAGCUGUCUGUAUCUUCAUUUUUCCUGUGUAAGCUUUAUGAAUUCUUUGAUAAUAACUGAUUUCAGGAAAAGAGCCUGCACUAA
This 785-nucleotide long non-coding RNA is filed under the name Solanum tuberosum (potato). RNAcentral describes it as "long non-coding RNA (STUB_LNC010928)". The record is from RNAcentral. Lineage: Eukaryota; Viridiplantae; Streptophyta; Magnoliopsida; Solanales; Solanaceae.